AAAGUUGUAACAAGGUUUCCGUAGGUGAACCUGCGGAAGGAUCAUUAACAAAUCCUGCUGCAGUGCCCUUGGGUGCUGUAGUAUAUUAACUCGGUCCGGGUCGCGAGAUCCGGGCUGAUAAAUUAAUGUGUGUGUUAUGUUGACAAUGUGUGUGUGAUUAAUUAUUAGUAGACAACUUUUAACAAUGGAUCUCUAGGCUCUU
Molecule: unclassified non-coding RNA, 202 nt
Filed under: Rozellomycota sp.
Lineage: Eukaryota; Fungi; Rozellomycota
Description: Cryptomycota sp. partial contains small subunit ribosomal RNA, internal transcribed spacer 1, and 5.8S ribosomal RNA
Rfam family: Eukaryotic small subunit ribosomal RNA (bases 1-47)
Source: RNAcentral